This 468-nucleotide ribosomal RNA is filed under the name uncultured bacterium. RNAcentral's name for it is "partial 16S ribosomal RNA". It matches the Rfam family "Bacterial small subunit ribosomal RNA", at positions 28 to 507 of the family's 1533-position model. The record is from RNAcentral.
GACGAACGCUGGCGGCGUGCUUAGCACAUGCAAGUCGAACGGAAAGGCCCUGCUUUUGUGGGGUGCUCGAGUGGCGAACGGGUGAGUAACACGUGAGUAACCUGCCCUUGACUUUGGGAUAACUUCAGGAAACUGGGGCUAAUACCGGAUAGGAGCUCCUGCUGCAUGGUGGGGGUUGGAAAGUUUCGGCGGUUGGGGAUGGACUCGCGGCUUAUCAGCUUGUUGGUGGGGUAGUGGCUUACCAAGGCUUUGACGGGUAGCCGGCCUGAGAGGGUGACCGGCCACAUUGGGACUGAGAUACGGCCCAGACUCCUACGGGAGGCAGCAGUGGGGAAUAUUGCACAAUGGGCGGAAGCCUGAUGCAGCAACGCCGCGUGCGGGAUGACGGCCUUCGGGUUGUAAACCGCUUUCGCCUGUGACGAGGCGUGAGUGACGGUAAUGGGUAAAGAAGCACCGGCUAACUACGUG